UCCGUAAACGAGUUUGCUGUUGAGCUUCUCGGUUUGACGCGACGAGUGCCUAUCAGGCAACACGGAAUGAGUGCCAGUCGGGCUACACUUUGUACAACACACACACACACUUUAACUUUGAAUAAAGAUUCAUUCCUGCAUCAAGCGUACAAGCGUCUACACGUCUUUUCCUUUGGGUGCAACAGUCCACUCGCUUUUUCCGCUUUGUUUCUCUUCUAGUUCAACAGGUUAUGGGCCCAGCUCAGUGUGGCCAGUUCAAUUGAAAAGUGCGCGACGCGGUUCGGAAUCACAGUGAUUUUUUCGGCGUGAAAAAAUUAGGACAUUUCCGGAAGGUACGCGGUGCGGUUAAGGAAUCGUGUGUUUUUUCGUGGUGAAAGAAAAAAUCCAACCGGGAACGGUUCGGCACGAGCAAAAAUGGAUUUUUCGAAAGUGGGUGUCAUCCGGCUGAACAACCGAAACUAUCGGUCGUGGGCUUUCAAAGUGCAGAUGUUGAUGAUGCGGGAGGGUACGUGGACGUACGUUGACCCGGGUGUCGCGCCGACACCGGUAACUCCGGAGUGGACGGAGGGUGAUUCGAAGGCGCGGGCGACCAUUGCUUUGUUGGUUGAGGAUAACCAACACAAUCUCAUCAUGACAAAGAACACAGCGAAAGAGACAUGGGAUGCGCUCAAGGCACACCACCACAAAGCCACUCUUACCGGGAAAGUUUCGUUGCUGAAAGAGAUUUGCAAUGCAAACUAUCAUGAAGGUGAGAAUAUGGAAGAUUUUUUAUACGGCAUGGAAGAUCUCUACUCUCGGCUGGAGAAUUCGGGUGAAAAACUCUCGGCGAACAUGCAGGUGGCCAUGAUUUUGCGGAGCCUUCCAAAAGCAUUUGACGCUCUUACUACCGCUUUGGAAAGUCGUUCCGAUAAAGAGCUAACGAUGGAACUUGUGCGGGCAAAGCUGAUCGACGAAAGUGAGAAGCUGUACGGCGGAAAGGUGCAGGAGGAGCGAGUGCUGAAGGCGAAAAGUGAAGCAAAACCAGGCGCGUGUUUCUUUUGUGGUCAAUCUGGCCAUAAGAAACGGGACUGCAAAGAGUUCCUGAAUCGGAAGAGCAGCGGGGAAGGCGAAAAGAAGAAAAAGAAUAAGCCGAAUAAAAAAGAACUAGUGAAAAUAGUGCGCGAAAACGACACAAGUUCGUUUACGUUCAUGGUUCGUCAGCCUGAAAUUCGCGGUAACGAUCGGUCGUGGCUAAUCGACUCGGGUGCUAGUUCGCACAUGUGUAGCGACAAAAGCGCGUUCACGGUAAUGGAACAAAGCUUGCGUUCAAAUGUUACCGUCGCAGAUGGCAGCGAAAAUCGCGUCGAAGGUGUUGGCGAUUGCCUGAUCAAGUGUGCGGUUGAAAACGGCGAAAUAAUUGAAAUCACGCUACGGGGUGUGUUGUAUGUCCCUACGCUGGAGGGAAACAUGAUUUCAAUCGGUAAACUCGCGGAAAAAGGUGUGCGUGCAGUUUUUGACAACACCGGGUGCAAACUCGUUUACGGAAAUACGAUCGUCGCGGUCGCGGAUAAAGUGAGCGAUAUGUAUUGGUUGCGAAUUGCACAGGAUCGAGUGAUGAAAUCAGUCGUAAAAGAGCACACGAAAAAUUGCCAACACACUUGGCAUCGUCGUCUUGGGCACAGGGAUCCAGCUGUCAUCGGUGAAAUGAAGCGGUACGACUUGGUGUCGGGUCUAAAAGUGGUCGACUGCGGUAUCCGCUGGACCUGCGAAUGCUGCAUCGAAUGCAAAAUGGCACGCUCGCCAUUUCCACCAGUUGCAGAAAAAACCUCGACAGAAGUGCUGGAUAUAAUCCACAGUGAUGUGUGCGGCCCAAUGGAAGAAACGACCUUAGGGGGAUGCCGUUACUAUAUGACCCUAAUAGACGAUCAUAGUAGGUAUACUUUCGUCUAUUUUCUCAAAAAGAAAUCGGAGGUCGAGAAUAAGAUUCGCGAAUACGUGAAAUUGGUUCAAAACCAGUUUGGCCGGAAACCGCGGAUCAUUCGCUCCGAUCAGGGAGGAGAAUACUUCAGUAAGGCGCUUCGAAAAUUCUGUGCGGACGAAGGGAUAAAGAUGGAAUUUACUGCAGCAUAUUCACCCCAGCAAAAUGGUGUCGCGGAGCGGAAGAACCGAUCGCUCACGGAGAUGGGUCGGUGUAUGCUUCGGGAUGCAGGUAUGCAUAAGCGAUUUUGGGCGGAAGCAGUCAAUACCGCUUGCUACUUGCAAAAUCGAUUGCCGUCUGCUGCAGUAGAUCGUACGCCAUUCGAGAUCUGGUUCGGCAAAAAACCAGAUUUGACCAACCUGCGACUGUUUGGAUGUGUUGGAUACGUACUGAUUCCGUCGGUGAAACGAAAAAAGUUAGACGUCAAGGCGGAGCGUAUGACUUUUGUCGGCUAUUCCGGCGAACAUAAGGCGUAUCGGAUGCUAAACACUAAGACGGGAGAAAUUCAAAUCAGUCGGGAUGUCCGUUUUCUUGAGAUUGAUGACGGAUCCAAGGAGCAGACAUACGGCGAUCCCAAAAUAGAGGAUAAUCCGACUGAAAGCGUUGAAAUUGAGUGGUCUCUCGAUGAAACGAAACAGGAAGCUAAAACCAACGUGGCCAAUGAAACAACCUCCGAAUCUGAAUUUUACGGUUGGGAUUGUUCAGACGAUGGCUGGCCACGAGGUUUUUGGAACGAUAAUGAUAACAAUUGGCUUCGCGGACUGUGGGACGAUGACGACACUGAAGCUGGAGCUGCGGAGCCGGAGGCGGUGCUGGAUGUAAUACCGGAGGCGAUGCCAGCGGCUGUGCCGGUGGUGUCGAGUACUCCCGUUCGUCGUUCACAAAGAGCGACAGCUGGCGUUCCACCGGCAAGAUAUGACGAAGAAGUAUAUCUGGCGAAGGAAUGUAUAACCGAACCAAAAACGUAUAAGGAAGCUGUAUCUGGUCCUCAGAGUGCCGAAUGGAAAUCAGCGAUGGCAGAAGAAAUGCAGUCCCAUCACGAAAAUGGAACGUGGGAGCUAGCGGAGCUGCCGCCGCACCGAAAGGCUAUCGGGUCGAAAUGGAUCUUCAAGUGUAAAGCGGAUGAAGACGGUCAUUUCGUUCGGUAUAAAGCACGGCUGGUGGCGCAGGGUUUCUGCCAGAAAUUCGGGACGGAUUACGACCUAGUGUUUGCCCCCGUCGUAAAGCAGAUUACUUUCCGGACGAUGCUGGUUCUGGCGAGUAAAAGGAAGAUGUUAACAAAGCACGUUGACAUAAAGACGGCGUACCUACAUGGUCUUCUCAAGGAGGAGAUUUUUAUGCGCCAGCCACAGGGAUUCGAGAGCGGUAACCCGAACGAAGUCUGCAGGCUGCAUCGCAGCAUUUACGGGCUCAAGCAGGCAGCUCGUGUCUGGAAUACGAAGAUCGACGACGUACUGAAAACAAUGGGUUUCAUCCAAUCAACGGCGGACCCAUGUUUGUACAUACGCGAAAAAGCGGCGAUCCGCUCCGGAGCAGUACGUUCUUUGAUGGCAGAUGAUUUCGCCCCGACUCGUCCAUUUCGUCCGCAGUCGCUAAACUGUUCAUAGCUUGUGCUUUGUUCUUAAAUUUCUUUACGAAGUCCCUAUUAUCACAUCAAGAUGGGUAGGGAGGACAAAGCAACCUGGAAAUCCAACUACUUCCUGAAGGUCGUGCAACUGCUCGACGAAUACCCGAGAUGUUUCAUCGUCGGUGCUGACAAUGUCGGUUCCCGUCAGAUGCAAACCAUCCGUAUGUCGCUCCGCGGCUCGGCCAUCGUGCUGAUGGGCAAGAACACCAUGAUGCGCAAGGCCAUCCGCGGACAUCUGGAGAACAACCAGAGCUUGGAGAAGCUGCUCAAUCACAUCAAGGGCAACGUGGGCUUCGUGUUCACGAAGGGCGAUCUGGCCGAGGUUCGCGACAAGCUGACCGCGAGCAAGGUGCGUGCACCGGCCCGUGCCGGAGCCAUCGCCCCGCUGGAGGUCGUCAUCCCGGCCCAGAACACCGGUCUCGGUCCGGAAAAGACCUCCUUCUUCCAGGCCCUCUCCAUCCCGACCAAGAUUUCGAAGGGUACGAUUGAAAUCAUCAACGAUGUGCCCAUCCUGAAGCCGGGCGACAAGGUCGGCGCUUCGGAAGCCACGCUGCUCAACAUGCUGAACAUCUCGCCGUUCUCGUACGGUCUGCAGAUCCAGCAGGUGUACGAUUCCGGUUCGAUCUUCUCGCCAGAAAUCCUCGACAUCAAGCCGGAGGAUCUGCGCGCCAAGUUCCAGGCCGGAGUGGCCAACCUGGCCGCCGUUUCGCUCCAGAUCGGAUACCCGACCUUGGCUUCGGUGCCGCACAGCAUUGCCA
RNA transcript from Anopheles stephensi (Asian malaria mosquito), 4342 nucleotides. It is a transcript of the gene named 60S acidic ribosomal protein P0, with no coding region annotated. The transcript has 4 exons. The record is from RefSeq and is a predicted model, not a curated record. Lineage: Eukaryota; Metazoa; Arthropoda; Insecta; Diptera; Culicidae.